AGAAAAAGAAAAUAUGUGGUUUGUACCUUUUGUAUCAGGGGAGUUCAAGGAUUAAUAAAUUACUUAGUCGAUUUAAAUAGAGCUUUUUAAAAUGUAAAAUUGCAGUUUUAUUAUUUAGAUAUUAAGUGGUGAAAAAUGUUCGAUAUUUAUGGUAUCUAAUUACUUAAAAUUAAAAGAGUAAGUUUUUUUCUGUCUAUGGGAGUAUAUAGUUGGGUGAGCUAGGCUUUAAAUUAGCUUUGUUUUUAAAUUGUUUUAAAUAAACUGGGUUGGUACUAAUAGUAGGAUUUAUAGGUUAUGCAGGUAAAUCUAGGUAUGCAAAAAUAAUGAAUUUAUUGAAUAAUGAGAGGGAGAUGGUAAAUAACUAGUAAAAAAUAAGAAUGUUUAACAAAAACAUUUUUUGUGUGAAAUGAUAAGUAAGACCUGCCCGGUGAGUAUUUAACGGCUGCGGUAUUUUGACCGUGCUAAGGUAGCAUAGUCAUUUGUUUUUUAAUUGAGAACUGGAAUGAAAGGUUAAUCUUAUUUUAAUUUUUGUGGUACUAAAUAAUAAAUUAAAGUUGAGGUAAGAAUUCUUUAAUCUUCUAGGGGACGAUAAGACCCUAGAAGCUUAACAUUAAGUUAAACUGAUAGUUUAAGUUGAGUUUUUGUUUUACUGGGGCGGUAGAGAUAAAUAAGCUAUUUGAGUACGAAAGAUCUUUAAAAUUAAGAUAGUUGGAAAUAGUUACUCUAGGGAUAACAGUGUAAUACUUUUGGAGAGAUCUUAUUGAUAAAUGAGUUUGCAACCUCGAUGUUGAAUUAAGAUGUCUAAGUGAUGCAGAGGUACUUAAGAGGGUUUGUUCAACC
RNAcentral lists this ribosomal RNA (840 nucleotides) under Gammarus fasciatus. RNAcentral's name for it is "partial 16S ribosomal RNA". The record is from RNAcentral. Lineage: Eukaryota; Metazoa; Arthropoda; Malacostraca; Amphipoda; Gammaridae.